Molecule: long non-coding RNA, 897 nt
Filed under: Salmo salar (Atlantic salmon)
Lineage: Eukaryota; Metazoa; Chordata; Actinopteri; Salmoniformes; Salmonidae
Description: lncRNA (ENSSSAG00000096648.1)
Source: RNAcentral
GUUAGUUUAUAUGGUGAUAGUUUAUAGGGUGUUAGUUUAUAGGGUGUUAGUUUAUAUGGUGAUAGUUUAUAGGGUGUUAGUUUAUAGGGUGUUAGUUUAUAGGGUGUUAGUUUAUAGGGUGAUAGUUUAUAGGGUGUUAGUUUAUUGGGUGUUAGUUUAGCAGGGUGUUAGUUUAGCAGGGUGUUAGUUUAUAGGGUGUUAGUUUAUAGGGUGUUAGUUUAGCAGGGUGUUAGUUUAUAGGGUGUUAGUUUAUAGGGUGUUAGUUUAUAGGGUGUUAGUUUAUAGGGUGUUAGUUUAUAGGGUGUUCGUUUAUAGUGUGUUAGUUUAUCUGGGUGUUAGUUUAUCUGGGUGUUAGUUUAUCUGGGUGUUAGUUUAUAGGGUGUUAGUUUAUAGGGUGAUAGUUUAUAGGGUGUUAGUUUAUAGGUGUGUUAGUUUAUCUGGGUGUUAGUUUAUCAGGGUGUUAGUUUAUCAGGGUGUUAGUUUAUAGGGUGUUAGUUUAUAGGGUGUUAGUUUAUCAGGGUGUUAGUUUAUAUGGUGUUAGUUUAUAGGGUGUUCGUUUAUAGUGUGUUAGUUUAUCUGGGUGUUAGUUUAUCAGGGUGUUAGUUUAUCAGGGUGUUAGUUUAUAUGGUGUUAGUUUAUAGGGUGAUAGUUUAUCAGGGUGUUAGUUUAUAGGGUGUUAGUUUAUAGGGUGUUAGUUUAUCAGGGUACAAUGCAGAUGUAGAAGCACGGUGGCUAGGAAAAACUCCCUAGAAAGGCCAGAACCUAGGAAGAAACCUAGAGAGGAACCAGGCUAUGAGGGGUGGCCAGUCCUCUUCUGGCUGUGCCGGGUAGAGAGGAACCAGGCUAUGAGGGGUGGCCAGUCCUCUUCUGGCUGUGCUGGGUAGAGAGGAACCAGGC